Molecule: long non-coding RNA, 1113 nt
Organism: Drosophila montana
Lineage: Eukaryota; Metazoa; Arthropoda; Insecta; Diptera; Drosophilidae
Exons: 2
Source: RefSeq, a predicted model, not a curated record
AUAGUUAAUGCAUACGAAAAAAGAUUAUCAACAAAGUAACGAAUCAGAGACAGAAACUGACAUAGAAACACUAGAGGAGAUACAUAGGUGAAGAAUCAAUUGAACAAAUAGAAAUCAUUGAUCUCAACCUAACCAUGGCACAUACAUACAGUAGUAGAGUUUUUAAAAUUAGCCUAAUCGCUGACACCAGAAUUUGUUGAAAAGGCAGGAAACCUACAAAGUUUCUUGGAAGCAUUGAAUCUAAUAAAUUCGUUACAAGGCACUGAUGGAUUAGCUGCUGUAAGCAUUAUUACUACAAAACUGAAUGGCCAUGCUAGAUAUUUGCUAAGUCAUGAACAGACAAUUCUUGCCAUUUGUUACGGCUCAUCGGUUUCUCUGGGUGUGGUCCCAUCCCUGGCCCGCAGUCCAUACAACCGAUAACAACACUAACCAAAUAACAUAUAGACUGGUCAAACCCGAACAAAAACGAAGGCGACUUUGGACCAGCCGCAAAAAAAAAGAUUGUCACCACCAAAUAUACGGUUUGACCAGUCUAUAUGUUAUUUGGUUAGUGAUAACAACAAAGCUACAACGUCUGUAGCAAAACAUACCUAUACAACACUAUUCAAAAUGAGCCACAUAAUCGAUAACAACAUACAAUCGGAACUUCUAACAAAUGAACAACAUAAACAGCUGCGACAGAUAAAUGUAAACAAGCAAAGAUCGGGUCCCGGUUCUGGACCCAGCCUACCCGCCCUACCAUGAGACCCCCCAUGGUUUCUAAGUAUUUGUGUGGGCACAUUGUUCCCAAAUCGGCGCAACGAUUGCCUCAAAAUUGCUUCCUUGCUUGUCUCUUUUUGCGGCGACUAGCAAUAUCUUUGCAUUGUUUCGUCGCCUGUUCCAUUUAGUGCUGUUCAAAUAAAAAAAUGAAUUCUAUAAUCUAAAAUUUAGAAAUUAAUACACAUUGUCCAUAAUCAUAAGUAUAUGCAACAUUAAUACGAAGAAAUGUUCACGUGCAUGAAAACUGAAUUAUCUUAAUGGAGACACCUUAUAAAUAAGAAAGAGAUAAGAAACAUUAAUUUUUAAUAAUCAUAAGGAAUGCAACCAAUUAUACGCACAUAUUGAAGAGAGAAA